This 610-nucleotide ribosomal RNA is filed under the name uncultured delta proteobacterium. RNAcentral describes it as "bacterial SSU rRNA". It matches the Rfam family "Bacterial small subunit ribosomal RNA", at positions 227 to 828 of the family's 1533-position model. The record is from RNAcentral. Lineage: Bacteria; Deltaproteobacteria.
GGGCCUGCGUCCCAUUAGCUAGUUGGUAGGGUAAUGGCCUACCAAGGCAACGAUGAGUAGCUGGUCUGAGAGGAUGAUCAGCCACACUGGAACUGAAACACGGUCCAGACUCCUACGGGAGGCAGCAGUGGGGAAUAUUGCGCAAUGGGCGAAAGCCUGACGCAGCAACGCCGUGUGAGGGAUGAAGGCUUUCGGGUCGUAAACCUCUGUCGGAAGGGAAGAACGGGCAUUGGUCUAAUAGGCCUUUGUUUUGACGGUACCUUUAGAGGAAGCACCGGCUAACUCCGUGCCAGCAGCCGCGGUAAUACGGAGGGUGCAAGCGUUAUUCGGAAUUACUGGGCGUAAAGCGCACGUAGGCCGCUUUGUAAGUCAGGGGUGAAAUCCCACGGCUCAACCGUGGAACUGCCUUUGAAACUGCAGAGCUUGAAUCCUGGAGAGGGUGGCGGAAUUCCUGGCGUAGGAGUGAAAUCCGUAGAUAUCAGGAGGAACACCGGUGGCGAAGGCGGCCACCUGGACAGGCAUUGACGCCGAGGUGCGAAAGUGUGGGGAGCAAACAGGAUUAGAUACCCUGGUAGUCCACACCGUAAACGAUGAACACUAGGUGUCGGAG